This 261-nucleotide unclassified non-coding RNA is filed under the name Hevea brasiliensis (rubber tree). Lineage: Eukaryota; Viridiplantae; Streptophyta; Magnoliopsida; Malpighiales; Euphorbiaceae. The record is from RNAcentral.
UAGUUGAGUUGAGUUGAGUAUGUUAAAUUUUGGGUUUAACUAACUUGUAACAAAUCAAUAUUUUCAGUGCUGUAACACCUCAUCUCAAUGUAUAUGAUUGUUUCUGUAACUAAGAUCAAAGAUCAAUUGAUUGUGCUAAAGAUUUCAACCUAAUCAAUUUUUGUUUUUCUGUUAUAGUCACCAAAUUUUGAAAAUUGCUUAAUUGUUGUUCUUUGCUAUCACAUUGGUUGCAUAAAUCAGGACACUAAAGCAGAAGGCAGG